UGCAAGGAUAAGAGAAAUGCCUUCCCAAGCAUGUGCUUCAGCAGCAGUAUUGUUCAGCUUCGUGAGUAAGGAUGGACAGUCAAAUAAAGUGCAGCAGACCAAUUUAAUUGGAAAAUGGGCACUGGAACAUCAACUCAGUGUGUGGUGGAGAGAUACCAUCUCCUGUAUUUCGAUUCUUCAUCCAUCAGCAGCUGUAACAACAACAUCUCCUUAGUCUGUGACCUUCCUAAACUGGUGCCUAUCUGGCUCAGCUGACAUUUCCUGGACUUUCUGAAGAGGUUUUUGGGUCCUUUCUACCCAGAGGACUCAAGAACUGGCAGAGAAAUGAAGCAAGAAAUACUGUGCAAAUAAAGGCUGAUCAACGGUGCUGGCCUUCACUUCCCAUUCUCUUGAGCAGCUAGUAGCCACUAUUUAAUCCUCAUUUACCUCCCUCUGGAUGAAGGCAUUGGCCCUGCAGCUGGGAAGGCUCUCACAGCCAGCACUGAAUGCAGGUCAGCAGGAAUUACCUGAGGCUUCCUGCAGCAAGUGGAUUUUUGAGAAAGAAGUUCACUGGGGCCACAACCGGCAGCAGUUCCCUGCAGAGCCUGCAGUGAUGUGAGAACAGAGAGGAGCAGCGAGUGCCUGUUGGGAGUGCACUGGGCUCCUGGCAUCCUCAGCUGUUUUCCACCCACCCUUGAAAACCAUCUCUGGCCCAAAAUGGAACUGUGAGCUGUACCACAUGCUCCAAAUGAAGUGCUAAUUAAAUACUUCUACUUAAUGUAGACAACAUUUCUUUGAGAAGGCUGUAAUGUAUCGCAGAUGUGGCGAAUCCCUUGGAGAGCAGAGAAGGAGCAAUGUGCACGUUGGAUCCCUCUGUGAGUGACCUUGGUAUCGGGAAUACUGCAGGUGCUUCCAUAUGAAUGCACACUCAGACACAUGGGACAUAAAUGGUGGAGCUGUGGAGCUUGAUGGGUACUUGAGUCUUAAGAAAAACAGCUGGACCCAGCCCCUGAUCCUAAGGGGGAUGAAAUCCAAUUCGCCUCCAGUGCUGACAGGUUUUCAGCUGGAUCUGCAGCCAGGUGAGAGGCUCCUGCAGCUACACCAUGCCAAGAUUCCCUCUUUUUGGGUGCCACUCCUCCCUGCUGCCAAGGCUCCUGCAGUUCCUGCUGCCUGGGAUUACUGAGGCAUCAGUGCCAUUGGUAGAGCCAGAGGGGAAAAACAAGGGAAGCAGC
This is a long non-coding RNA of Chiroxiphia lanceolata (lance-tailed manakin), 1211 nucleotides long. RefSeq lists it as uncharacterized. The transcript is spliced from 8 exons. The record is from RefSeq and is a predicted model, not a curated record. Lineage: Eukaryota; Metazoa; Chordata; Aves; Passeriformes; Pipridae.